Long non-coding RNA from Nannospalax galili (Upper Galilee mountains blind mole rat), 285 nucleotides. RefSeq lists it as uncharacterized. The record is from RefSeq and is a predicted model, not a curated record. NCBI's taxonomy places the organism in Eukaryota, Metazoa, Chordata, Mammalia, Rodentia, Spalacidae. The transcript is spliced from 3 exons.
GGUUAGCUGGCCGUGUUCCUCAGAGAGAGCCCCAGGAAACUGUUGGAAACUCUGUCGUGUUGGGGUCCCCUAUCACUAGGGCAAGAGAAGGGCUGCUGUGCUAGGUAGCACCAUAGCUGUCCUGUGCCUCUUCAGAGAGCCAGAAUAAGGACAAAGCUGACCGUGGAGAAUUACAGAGGACCUGUUGAUAUGAGAGCAGCUAUCCAGCCACUUUGCCUGCCUGCUUGCCUCUCGUUUUUAUAGCUGUACCAGACUAUACCAUAUUGUGCUGUUGUCAAGAAGAAA